This 1193-nucleotide long non-coding RNA is filed under the name Panax ginseng (ginseng). RNAcentral describes it as "long non-coding RNA (PGIN_LNC010779)". Lineage: Eukaryota; Viridiplantae; Streptophyta; Magnoliopsida; Apiales; Araliaceae. The record is from RNAcentral.
GUUAUCCCUUUUUUUUUUGAUAAAAUUAAAAAGACCAAAAUUUACACAACCCAAAUCCAAAAACAACAAAUAACUUUCAGAAACUUUUUUGUGCUUGAUAAAAAAGUAUAAAAAAACUCACAUAUCAAACUAAAUAAUGCAAAGAUAACCAUAAAAAUCCAUAAAUAAUCUUGCUUCAUCUCAAAGUAAAAGUAAAUAAAAAUCUAGUAAGCACAGUACUUCCAGCAGCUUUAUUAUACCCAAAAAAAAAAAUCCAAAAUCUUAAUCCACCCCUAUAAGUCAUAAACCCUCAAAGCCCUGUUAUUUUCCUCUUAAAAAAACCUAAUUGUAGAGAAAUACAAAGCGAACCCACAAAACAGAAAUUGAACCCCAAAUCAACCUCACUAGCACAGAACUGACACGGGAGAACACCCGGAACAGCCGGCCGCGCGGUUAAUCAAUCGGAAGAAAGAAAGGCGAGGAAAAAAGAAAUUACAUAAUUGUAGAGAAUUACAGAGCGGACCCACAAAAGGGGCAGAACUUGAACUCCGAAUCAACCUCACGAGCGCAGUACUGACACCGGAGAACAUCCGGAACCACCAGCCGCGACGGCGAAUCUGGCGGAAGAGAGAAAGACGGAGGGAAAAAGAGAUUACAGUUGUUGCAGUGCAUCAGUUCGUCUUUUCCCGGCCACCGCCAAACGGGGACAAAGAAGAGCUUAAGAACCUUGUCGUAUUUGACGAGAUCGGCCGGCGAUCGGCAGUUUAUGCAUUUUCGUGCUCCUUUUUUCAGCACUUGGCUGACUUGUUGCUCAAUGCCUCAAUCCCUCCGGCGAAGAAGAAGAACAUUUUCUUUUCCCUUUAUCUUAAGAUUUUAUUUUAUUAUUCUUGACAAUUUCUGUUUGAAACUUUUGAGAGUUAUUUUAAGGAUUGGACGAGGCCUCGAGGGUCGGUCGGUGAUAGAAACUUCUCUGGAUGGUUCUAGCCUUUUACGGGUUCGUUGGGCCAUGACUUAUUUUAUUGUUCGGGUGUUUGACAAUAACUUCAAUUUUAAAUAAUAAAUUAAUUUAUAAGUUAUUUUUAUAAAAUAAUAUUUUUUUUACUUUUAAAAUAAUAAUUUAUUAAUUAUUUUAAAUAAUUAAAUUUGAUUAAAUAUAAUGACUAUUUUACUCUCUAUGUUUUUCUUAAAUUACAUCUAAUUUCUCUCAUCUCUCC